Long non-coding RNA from Amaranthus tricolor (Joseph's coat), 516 nucleotides. RefSeq lists it as uncharacterized. NCBI's taxonomy places the organism in Eukaryota, Viridiplantae, Streptophyta, Magnoliopsida, Caryophyllales, Amaranthaceae. The record is from RefSeq and is a predicted model, not a curated record. The transcript has 3 exons.
GUAAAAAGAAAAGCUAAACUUAGGAAAAAUAGAAUUGGGUUAUACAGAACCCAACCCACGAAAAGAAAGGGAAAGAAGAGAGAGGAGGAAGGAAGAAGGAAGAAGGGCUGGCUGCCAGCCGGCGGUGGCUUUGGUGGCCGCCGUCGCACCCCGGUGGUAUCCCGAUGACUGCCGUAUCGCCGGAAAACUAAGAGGCGGUUCUGGAGCUAUCCAGGGUGCCCAACCGCACAGGACCCAAAACUUAAAGGCCUUAUAUUAAAAAAUCAUAUUGGAAUAACAUACUAUUGUGAUAUAAUAGCGGAACAAAUUAGGAAGGACUUGGGUGAGUUACACCUUUUGGAGGACUUGACUUGGGAUAAGGAUAGUUGAAGACGCCAGAUUUACGUGAGUGUAAUUAAUUUUUUUUUUGUUGUGUGUUAAUCAUUUUUGUUUGCUUGCAAUUUGGUUGGUUUUGCCUUCUUGGAUGGUGCUAUAUUUGUAUGUUCUGUCAUAUGUGUUUUUUGCCUUCUGUUUUCG